CUCUUCCAUAAAUAAAGACUUGUCCCAAACUCCAGGAAAAAUCUGUGCACUUCACAAAACAUUUAUAACAAUUUAUUGCGUUCGCCUCAGGCUGGGUAACCACAACAGAAAUUGCCAAAAUGUCCUUUCAAGGUAGCUUGCAUGUCAGGGAAGAAAAUGGCUGCCCCCAAGCCAUUUGCAAACAAAUUCAAUAUCUUUUCCAGAGAAAUAUGCCAAAUCCCCCAUGAUGGAAAACGUCAAAAUCCUCACCCCCAGCUAGGCUAAAAAUAUCGGCAAUAGCUCCGCCCCUUGGAUUAGGAAAAGCUGCAAAGGCCCGGGGGUGAGGGGAUGGGAACUGCUGGAAUUAACUGAUACAUUAGAUUAUCAAAGCUAAUUUUAAAAUAUGACAAUAACAGACAACUCUUCCGCCAAUAUCUUAAAAAGAAAUAUUCCAAUAAUUUUUCAUUAAUUAAACAGCCAGGAAUUACAUACCAAAUAAUAACAAUGGUUAAAGACUGUGUUAAUCAACAGCAAGUAUGGAAUAUCACUACGUAAACAACAAUUUGAUAUUACCUUAAAAAGAAAAGCUACUAAUUCUGACCAAUGGGAAUUUUGUGUGUACUACGAAUCAUAUGCAUUUAUUGUCUCCGUAGCAGGCUUUAUUUUACCCUGUGAGCAAAGUCGUCUCAUAUUUCUUCUCGGCAUGGCACGGAGAAGCGAGAGAGAUUCUGCAAAACUUGUGUAUAUUCUUUGUGGAGCCAACAAUCCAAAAACUUGGAUAAUUAUGUAUAAUUUCAGGUUUGAUACUGGUUUAAUAACUGGUUUUGAUGCCGGAAACAACGAAACCAGAAACUACUUAUUAAAUCUUCUUCUGGGAAAUAGGCAGUUGCUUAGCAACCUUCGCACAUGCUCAAAUGAAUUUCUACCCAAGUUCUGCAGAGUCUCUCUCGCUUCUCCGUGCCGAGAAGAAAUAGGAGAGGACUUUGCUCGCAGGGCAGCUUUAUUUCAAGGAUAGAGCCUGACACGCUGGAUACUUUCAAAGUUAACCCCCCCCCUACUUUAUUACUUUACUCUGCGUAACACUAGACAAUUUUACUUGAGGACGCCAUAUUCAAUAUAUUAUUCUCACCAGGAAAUUCCAUUUUGUUUGCACCCCUUGCACUAUUGUGUUUCAUUAUGGCAUCUUCAACUUGAAAGAGUCUAUUACUCUGGCCCCAACAUUUACCCGUUAAAAACACAAUAUAUGAUGAAAUAACUAAAUGUUACAGGUUUACACGCCUGACACCUGGUCCUUGUAUUUCUGUCUUGUUAGGCUACAUCAUGUUCUUUUGACCGCUUAUCCGUAUCAGGAUUGCUUGCAUCAAGGGCCGUAGCGUAGAAAAAAGCAUCCAAAUAAACGGCAGUUUGCGAAUAUUAUAUAAAUAUUGUGAACUUUUGUCGUCUAUUUCAAGCUUGUAGCGAUCCAAGUUACUCACAUAAAAUGACUUUCGCUUUAUAAAGUCUGGUUCAUCGGAAAACUUUAAAGUUUCAUCGGAAAAAUAAAAAAAAUAUGUACAAAAUCGAUGAAAUUGUCGAUACUAAAUAACUAAAUUCGCUCCGAAGAAAGCGGCCAUCUUGAAUCCAGCGACGAAUAGUAAUGACGUAAUUUUUAUUAUUUAUUAAUGACGUAACGUUCAUUUUGUGGCUAACGAUCACUGAGCUAUAAUAUUACUGGAGGAGGUGCUCCUAUCUCUCGUCAGUCAAAAAAGUGUCGCCAAAAACAUGGCGGAUUUUCAUGUUUGCUGACGCCAAUUGGUUCCUCCGGCUCAUGGCAAUUACCACUGACCAACCGCGAUCCUACGCUUGAAAUAAAAUCCUUCACCCCCCUGGUUUUUGCACAAAUUUUGAUCAUAAUUUUCGAGUUUCGACUGAAAAUCUUGAUAUUUUUGCAGUCGAGGAAAAAGUGUGUUAGUUUUAAGUUUAUAGUCUGCUUGUAGAUGAAACAAUUCACUCGAGAGGAUUAUUAUAUUUCUUGUUUUCAGGUAA
Molecule: long non-coding RNA, 2004 nt
Filed under: Paramuricea clavata
Lineage: Eukaryota; Metazoa; Cnidaria; Anthozoa; Malacalcyonacea; Plexauridae
Source: RNAcentral